Molecule: unclassified non-coding RNA, 487 nt
Filed under: Hevea brasiliensis (rubber tree)
Lineage: Eukaryota; Viridiplantae; Streptophyta; Magnoliopsida; Malpighiales; Euphorbiaceae
Source: RNAcentral
GAUAAAUCCUGAUCGGAGCUACCAAAUUUCACAAUUCCCCUUCAUUUCCGAGCAAUUCUUCGGCGGAGAGAAGAUGGGGCUGACAUUCACGAAGCUGUUCAGCCGCCUCUUCGCGAAGAAGGAGAUGCGGAUCCUCAUGGUCGGUCUCGAUGCGGCCGGUAAGACGACGAUUCUGUAUAAGCUCAAGCUCGGAGAGAUUGUCACCACGAUCCCUACUAUCGGAUUCAAUGUGGAGACUGUCGAGUACAAGAACAUAAGCUUUACAGUUUGGGAUGUUGGAGGUCAAGAUAAGAUCAGGCCACUAUGGAGGCACUACUUCCAGAAUACCCAGGGUCUUAUUUUUGUUGUGGACAGCAAUGACAGGGAUCGGGUUGUUGAGGCAAGGGAUGAGCUUCACAGAAUGCUAAAUGAGGAUGAGUUGCGAGAUGCUGUCUUACUUGUGUUUGCGAACAAACAAGAUCUGCCUAAUGCAAUGAAUGCUGCUGAA